AAUUGCAGACAUGAUAUUGAUUUAUAAUUUUCCCAUUUGUAUUUCCAAUUCAGUUUCGGAAGCAAAAUGCUUCAAUAAACUGUCCCUAUGUCACCCCUAUGAGGUAGGCUGCCUUGAUGCGCUCUUGUGAAGAACCUACACAUUUUUUUCAUUUUAAAGGGAUCAUCCUCGCUCUGACCUCCUAUCAGCCAAUCACAUCCCAAACUACUGAAACUCGUAGUGCGCUUUUGAAAGACAACAGUGACGGACCUCUUGUAGAGUCAAGUUCAGAGAAUAUGCACGCACAUCUAUGGACGACCUUUGAUUGAUAACCACGUCGACCUUGGCAUAUCCUUUAUCAUUCUCCGUGUUUGUAUUUGAAAGGGAGAACAAGAAGAAAGAGUCCGUUAUAUUUAUAACUAAUCUAUUACAUUUGGAGAACGUCUUGGAGGUAGCUGGUGUAUAAUAUCGAAUACCCGUUCUAGUUAGGAGAAGGGACUGUAAAGAUGCGACUUCCACUUACAUUCAUUCUGAUUUGCUAACUUUGUUUGGGUUUUAAAACGGACAUGGUCAUUCAGUUCCAGCGGUCGGGAGUGGUCGGUGAGGUCAAGACCGUCGAGCAGGUAUUGAUCAGCGGAGCCGCUCUCUCCAGCAGCGAGAAAGACGUCAGCGGCAUUCUCCGUGCUGUAUUGUUGGGCAACUACAGCGAGUCUUUUCAACAGGCGUUUGAGAUAGAAGAAAAUGUCAACAACACCAUGACAAAAAAUCAUACUUACCAGUACCUGCGUGUGCAUGAAAGCAAACUGGAUGGAUUUCAGGUAGUGCAUUUGACUGACCAGCUCCUGGUUGACAGGAAUGACUUCCUGACUCUGGACCGAAACACAGACACCUGGACAGCUGAGGUACCACAGGCCCUAGCGCUCAAACAGCUUUAGGACCAGGACACUGAGCGCACAAGGCUGGACAGGAUUCAACUCCAUGAGAGCUGUGCCAAACUGAUGAAGGAGAUCACACAUUCUGAGCCCACCACCACUGGAGAUCCCAACUUUUCAGGACACCCUGGAGGUGUCCUUGGCUCCAUCGUCCACUAUCCUCAGAACGUCACAGAAACACCUCGUCCAGGAAAAGGCUAUCGGGUUCUCUAAAACCCAACGCUCCUUUCCCAAUAUACUUCUGAUGUCAACUGGUCACUACACAGCAGUGGUCUGGUCACACCCUGAUCUGUUUCACCUGUCUUUGUGCUUGUCUCCUGGUCUGUUGCCAGUUUGUCUUGUCAAGCCUACGAGCGUGGUUUCCCUAGUCUUUUUUCUAGCCCUCCCAGUUCCGACCGCCCUGACACUGAGCCUGCCUGCCUGACCAUUCAGCCUGCCCUGACACUGAGCCCACCUGCCUGACCACUCAGCCUUACCUGACCUUGUAUUUUAAUAAAUAUCAGAGGCUGGAACCAUCUGCCUCCAGUGUCUGCAUCUGGGUCUCGCCCUGUGUCGUUAUAGGUCUGGUGACCAAAAUACCUUGAUUGCAUUCUCAUUUCCUACCUUUCGACUCAAAAUGUAUGUUCACUCCUCCUUGAUAUGGUGGAAACUGCAAAUACACAUUUUGGGGUAUGGGCAUUGUAAUUCAACAAUAUAUGUUCCCUGGUCCGUCCAACUCUCUGGUCCCCGUUUCUCCCAGGGCCUUCUACCAAAUAGGGCUAUCUUCUGUAUACCACCCCUACCUUGUCACAACACAACUGAUUGGCUCAAACGCAUUAAGAAGGAAAGAAAUUCCACAAAUUAACA
Non-coding RNA from Salmo salar (Atlantic salmon), 1757 nucleotides. Lineage: Eukaryota; Metazoa; Chordata; Actinopteri; Salmoniformes; Salmonidae. The record is from RefSeq and is a predicted model, not a curated record.